Molecule: long non-coding RNA, 667 nt
Filed under: Mytilus galloprovincialis (Mediterranean mussel)
Lineage: Eukaryota; Metazoa; Mollusca; Bivalvia; Mytilida; Mytilidae
Source: RNAcentral
CCGCCGUAUUUGAUGGACGCCGGAUGUAAUUUUAUUAUAACACAUACAAUAUUGUUUCAAACAACAAAUAAGAAACAUGUCGCAACUCCAUGCUUCUAUACACUCUCUCUUAAAUUUUUCCAAACAUUUCCCUCACGGAUAGUCGAGGCCGUCCAGGAAAAACCAAAUUUUUUAAAAAGGAAACCUGUAUCCGACAACAAUGCACACGCCUAUCUCAGGAAAAAGUUAGUCAGACCUUACCUUAUAUAACGAGAGAGAUGACAAACAAACAAUUUUGAACAAAAAUAAAAUACUUCAAAAUAUAUAUAUAUAUAUACAUUAUGACUUAAGUUUAAGUCAUGCACGUACGAACGACGGCUAGAAAGUGACAUACAAAUCAAACAUACCUACAUACCCGGAUCUAAAUCAACCCCUCUGAUUGGACCAUACGCAUAUUACCCAUAACGUCAAUACAAUAUUUUCCCGCUUUACUUCGAACCGCGAGAAAAUAUUAGUAUUAUCUAUACUUCAUAUGCCUAUACAUAAAACAAGACAAACACAAAUAUCAAUUUGUCGACAGCCCGCCGUAUUUGAUAGAAAUUACACAAAGAACGGGGGCCAGAAUAAAUUAUAAGAGAUAAACAAAUAUUAUAAACCCAAUUUCUUCGAAACCUGCAAACGUUUCUCU